CUUGACUGUAGCCUGGAAUUGGGUUCGGGCUUUUCUUGCGCAGCCUAGGUGGGAGGCUAUGAAGAUUUCCUUCCGGGGAAGUUGGAGCCAACAGUGAGAGACCACUCUGGAAAGGCUAGAAUCCCCAUGGUGAUCCUUGAAUCAGGACACUUGACAGUUUCAGGCGGGCAGUUUCUCUGGGGCGGAGGCCUCAUAAAAGGUAACUGAGGCGCGCAAAGGUUCCCUCAGUCUGGACGGAAAUCAGACAUUGAGUGUAAAGGCAAAAGGGAGCUUGACUGCAAGACCUACAAGUCGAGCAGGAGCGAAAGCUGGCCUUAGUGAUCCGACGGUUCCGCGUGGAAGGGCCGUCGCUCAACGAAUAAAAGUUA
This 368-nucleotide ribosomal RNA is filed under the name uncultured organism. Its description in RNAcentral is "bacterial LSU rRNA". It matches the Rfam family "Bacterial large subunit ribosomal RNA", at positions 2099 to 2465 of the family's 2925-position model. The record is from RNAcentral.